UGGUAGUGACCUGAAAGAGAACGACCCCAAUGGAAAGCAGAGAUCUCUUGUUUAAAAAAGACUGCACUCCAGUGAGACCUGUCCCAGUCCGGCCAGGGGAAGAGUAAUGGGGCCAGCGGGUCACAACACCUAACUGUCUGGGCGUCUACAGAAUGAGCGAGAGUCGUGAACCGCUUCUGCGUGAAGUCAGCGUGGGCACUCAGGACCCUGGGAAUCCAGCGUCGCAAAAUAAACACCGCCGCGCCGCUAAUCGCCAGCUCGGGAUCUGUGCAGACCCAGCCCUCCCUCCUCCCGCGCCUUC
Molecule: long non-coding RNA, 301 nt
Organism: Fukomys damarensis (Damara mole-rat)
Lineage: Eukaryota; Metazoa; Chordata; Mammalia; Rodentia; Bathyergidae
Exons: 3
Source: RefSeq, a predicted model, not a curated record